Molecule: long non-coding RNA, 420 nt
Organism: Hyla sarda
Lineage: Eukaryota; Metazoa; Chordata; Amphibia; Anura; Hylidae
Exons: 3
Source: RefSeq, a predicted model, not a curated record
AAGAAUGGAACAAAAUGGUUCAUUACAAUUCCCCAGCACUCUGCAGUACUAACACUUAAAACACAGAAAUAUGAUUUGAAGCUGCAAAGUUAAAUGUAAACUAAAUGAUUGAAAACGGCAUCAAAUCUUCAGCUUCAAAUCCAGUGCAUCAAGUAUCAUAAGAAAAGAUACUUUGUGCUGGACUGAAGACUUGGUCCUGACGGGAAGAAAAUGUUGGAUUUUGCCCCUUGUAAACAAAAAAGAAGACAUAUGUUUAUGCCCUGGUCACACCUAAAGUACAUUUUUCAAAUAAAAGUCUAUUACAUCCUUGGCCAUGACACUUUUUAUGGCAGAGUGAUGCGGACACAUUAUGGUUCACUCUGAACUGCUCAGGCAUUUCAAUACAAUGCAGUUGUUGAUAGUAACCUCAGCAGUGGAAUG